UACGGAGGAUGCGAGCGUUAUCCGGAUUUAUUGGGUUUAAAGGGUGCGUAGGCGGGAUGCCAAGUCAGCGGUAAAAAUGCGGUUCUCAACGCCGUCGAGCCGUUGAAACUGGCGUUCUUGAGUGGGCGAGAAGUAUGCGGAAUGCGUGGUGUAGCGGUGAAAUGCAUAGAUAUCACGCAGAACUCCGAUUGCGAAGGCGGCAUACCGGCGCCCUACUGACGCUGAGGCACGAAAGCGUGGGUAUCGAACAGG
RNAcentral lists this ribosomal RNA (252 nucleotides) under uncultured bacterium. Its description in RNAcentral is "partial 16S ribosomal RNA". It matches the Rfam family "Bacterial small subunit ribosomal RNA", at positions 524 to 776 of the family's 1533-position model. The record is from RNAcentral.